AUUGAACGCUGGCGGCAUGCCUUACACAUGCAAGUCGAACGGCAGCACGGGUGCUUGCACCUGGUGGCGAGUGGCGAACGGGUGAGUAAUACAUCGGAACAUGUCCUGUAGUGGGGGAUAGCCCGGCGAAAGCCGGAUUAAUACCGCAUACGAUCUACGGAUGACAGCGGGGGACCUUCGGGCCUCGCGCUAUAGGGUUGGCCGAUGGCUGAUUAGCUAGUUGGUGGGGUAAAGGCCUACCAAGGCGACGAUCAGUAGCUGGUCUGAGAGGACGACCAGCCACACUGGGACUGAGAAACGGCCCAGACUCAUACGGGAGGCAGCAGUGGGGAAUUUUGGACAAUGGGCGAAAGCCUGAUCCAGCAAUGCCGCGUGUGUGAAGAAGGCCUUCGGGUUGUAAAGCACUUUUGUCCGGAAAGAAAUCCUUGGCUCUAAUACAGUCGGGGGAUGACGGUACCGGAAGAAUAAGCACCGGCUAACUACGUG
Molecule: ribosomal RNA, 486 nt
Filed under: uncultured bacterium
Lineage: Bacteria
Description: partial 16S ribosomal RNA
Rfam family: Bacterial small subunit ribosomal RNA
Source: RNAcentral